UUGUGGUACGUCUGAGAGGUGGUUCCUGCAUGCCCAGCAGGUGAUUCCGGACUGUCCGCCACGUGGUUGUGGCACCUCUGAGAGGAGGUACCAGCAUGCCCAGCAGGUGACCCCAGAGAGUCCUCCAAGUGGUUCUGGCGUAGCCAGCAGGUGAUUUUGGCGUGUCCGGCAGGUGGUUCCGGCAUGCUCGGCAGGUGGUUCAGGCAGGUCCGGUAGGUGGUUCCGGUCUGUCCAGGAGGUGGUUCCGGUGUGUCUGGCACGUGGUUCCGUCACGUCUGACAGGUGGUUCUGGCAUGUCCGGCAGGUGAUUCUGGAUUGUCCACCAAGUGGUUCUGGCGUAGCCGGCAGGUGAUUUUGGCAUGUCCAACAGGUGGUUCCGACGAUUCGAGCAGGUGCUUCCGGCUAGCUCGGCAGCUGCUUCUGGCGUCUCCAGCACUUGAUUUUGGCACAUUUGAGAGGUGGGUCCGGCAUUCCCGGCAGGUGAUUCCAGAAAGUCCGGCAAGUGGUUCUGGCAUAGCCAGCAGGUGAUUUUUGCGUGUCCGACAGGUGGGUCCUGCGAGUCGAGCAGGUGGUUCCUACAUGCUCGGCAGGCGGUUCAUGCGUGUCCGGCAGGGGGUUCCGUUGUGUCCGGUAGGUGGUUCCGGCGUGUCCAGCACGUGGUUCUGGCACGUCUGAGAGGUGGUACCUGCAUGCCCGGCAGGUGAUUCCAGACUGUCCGCCAAGUGGUUCUGCCAUAGCCGAUAGGUGAUUUUGGAGUGUCCUGCAGGUGGUUCUGGGGAGUGGAUCAGGUGGCUCGGCGUGCUCAGGAGGUGCUUCCAGCGUCUCUGGCAUGUGAAUCUGGCACGUCUGAGAGGUGAUUCUGGCAUGCCCGGCAGGUGAUUCCGGACUGUCCCCCCGGUGGUUCUGGCAUAGCCGACAGUUGAUUUUGGCCUCUCCAGCAGGUGCUUGCGGCGUGUCGAGAAGGUGGCUCCGGCUUGUUCGGCAGGUGGUUCGGGCGUGUCUGGCAGCUGGUUCCGGUCUGUCUGGUAGGUGGUUCCGGCGUGUCUGGCACAUGCUUCUGGCAUGUCUGAGAGGUGGUUCCGGCAUGCCCGGCAGGUGAUUCCAGAGUGUCCGCCAAGUGGUUCUGGCAUAGCCGGCAGGUGAUUCCGGAGUGUCUGCCGAGUGGUUUUGGCGUAGCCGGCAAGUUAUUUUGGGGUGUCCAGCAGGUGGUUCUGGGGACUGGAUCAGGUGGUUCCGGCAAACUUGACAGGUGGUUCCGGUCUGUCCAGUAGGUGGUUCCGGCGUGUCCGGCACGUGCUUCUGGCACGUCUGAGAGGUUGUGCCGGCAUGCCCUUCACGUGAUUCCGGCUUGUCCCCCAAGUGGUUCUGGCGUAGCCGGCAGGUGGUUUUGCAUGUCCGGCUGUGGUUCCGGUGUGUCGAGCUGGUGGUUCCUUCGUGUCCAGCACGUGGUUCUGGUACGUCUGAGAUGCGGUUCCGGCAUGGCUGGCAGGUGAUUUCGGAGUGUCUGCCAUGUUGUUCUGGCAUAUCCAGCAGGUGAUUAUGGCGUGUCCGGCACAUCUUUCCAGCGAGUCGAGCUGGUUAUUCCUGCGUGCUUGGCAUGUGCUUCUGGUGUUUUUGGGAGUUGAUUCCGGCGUGUCAGGAAUGUGGUUGUGGCAAGUUUGAGAGGUAUUUCCUGCAUGCCCGCAAGAGAUUCCAGAGUGUCCACCAAGUGGUUCUGGUGGAGCUGGCAGGAGAUUUUGGCGUGUCCAGCAGGUGGGUCCUGCGUGUCGAGAAGGUGGUUCCUGCAUGCUCGGCAAGUGAUUCCGGCGUGUCCGGCAGGUGCUUCUGGUCUGUCCGGGAGCUGGUUCCGGCAUGGCCGGCACGUGGUUCUGGCACGUCUGUGAGGUGCUUCGGGCAUGCCCGGCAGGUGAUUCCUGGGUGUCAGCCAAGUGGUUCUGGCGACACCGGCUGGUUAUUUUGGUGUGUCCGGCAGGUCUUUCCUGCUUUUUGGGCUCGUGGCUCUGGCUUGUAAGACACAUGCUUGUGGCAUUUCUGACCCCCGUUCUUUCAUACUCCUCAGCUGGUUUCAGUGUUUCUGGAACCUGUUUGUGGCAUAUCCAACAGGUGUUAACAAUGUGUCUGGCAUGUCGUUGUGCUAUGUUUGGAAUCUGGUUCCAUGUCAUUGUGUGCAGCUGGCAUGUUGAAGAGAUGGUUCUGCAGUGUCAGAAUCUCUGUUCCACUGUGUCUGGCAGGUGGUUACAGGUGGUUCUGGCAUGCAAAGUGGGUGCUUCUGGUAUGCCUGUUGGGUCAUACUGGCAUGAAUGUGUGGCCCUUUGAGAGUGUGCAGAGGGUGUUUUUGGCAUGUCUCCCAGGGUUUUCUGGCACAUAAGGGGCAUGAUUCCUUUUUAUACAUCAGGUGAGUUUGUUCUCAGCGUCCUAAAGAGAUGGAAGGAAGAUGGUCUGUGGCUUGUGGCCCCUUGAGGGGUGGAGCCAAUGCAUUGUGCAUUCCAAUCUAGAGCAAUGGAGGGCAUGGCUGAGAGCAAGAGGGUCUUUCUGACAUAGCUGCAUUGUGACACUCUCUCCACCAGUGCACAAUGGUUGUUGGAAAAAGGCUUGCAGUCUAUCGCCUCCUGAGCAGGUGGAUGCUAAAUAAUUUGGGACUCAGCCCAGUUGCUUCAGGGGAAGAUGUAGGCAUUUCGUCUGAGCAAGGUUGGCAAGGUAGAAUUGCAGCAGAAGCAGAAGUCCUAAAGCGGCGAGUUAAGCGCUGGGAAGAAUUGGCGUUUGAGCUGACUUUG
Long non-coding RNA from Equus caballus (horse), 2774 nucleotides. Lineage: Eukaryota; Metazoa; Chordata; Mammalia; Perissodactyla; Equidae. The record is from Ensembl.